This is a long non-coding RNA of Acinonyx jubatus (cheetah), 1555 nucleotides long. RefSeq lists it as uncharacterized. NCBI's taxonomy places the organism in Eukaryota, Metazoa, Chordata, Mammalia, Carnivora, Felidae. The transcript has 4 exons. The record is from RefSeq and is a predicted model, not a curated record.
AGAAAUCCUACAUAUGCAGUUAUUCUUUAGACCACAUUCAUUACUACUAUUUUGACACUGUUGAAUUUCACCCCAGUCCUGUAAUCCUGGAUUAGACCAUUCAUUUUCUUAAUGGAAGAAUAAGGCCAUACCUAAACAUAUUAAAAUAUUAUUCACUUUGACAAUGGAACUAGUUCCAAGACAUGAACUAUUGCUAUAUUAGAAACAAGAAGCAAUCAGUAUUUUUCAUUGCCUAAGAAUCUCUAUACUACAAAAAAUCCAUCACUUCUAAUGAAAUUGACACACAGAAAAUGAAGCCACAUGAACAUCUGAAAGAGAUUAAAAUGGAAUAAAAAGUCCUCAGUAGAAUUUUAAUGUAUUUUUAUAUUAGCAUCAAAGACCAAUAUUUUAUGGCUUCGGAUAUAUGCUUGCAACACAAUUAUUUUAAGAUACUUAUUAGAAAUCACACAGUGGUUUUAACUUACUAAGGUGCUGACAAGAGGCUGUUUUGUUUUAUGUGGUAUUGGCUAGAACUGCAUUCAUCUGGAGACUCAACUAUGUGGAACAUUUAAGGUGACUCCUACAAAACCGGCACCUGUCAGGAGCUCAGGGUCUUUCUUCUGGAGUGUCCCUGUGGUCUUUUAACCCACACCUCUCCUUUGGAUAGGCUUUCUCCCAGCUAUGCAGCUGGGUUCCAAGAAGGGUUACCCCUAACAGCAAAGAUAGAAACUACAGAUAUCUUAUGAUGCAGUACCAGAAGUUACACCAUGACACUUCCCCUGCAUUCUCUUGGGCCAAACAAGUCACAGGGUCUAACCAGAGUCAAGGACAAAGAAAUAGGCACUUUGUCUCUCCAUGGGAAGGAGUGACAGAAUUUGAAAGAAAAUUUAAUCCACUGUAUUUAUUUCAAUUCUACUUGACUGUGAGCUCCAAUAACUUUGGAGCAAAAUAACUUUUAUUCAUGACUGUGGUAGAAAAAUAUCAUUACAUAAAAGACACUUAAUGAAUAUGUGUUGAAUUCUUUUAAUAUAUAAAACCAAUCUAAUGCAUUGGCAUUAAAAUUCUUGUUUAAUUUUUAGAGUUAUGAUGGUUCAGUCUCACAUCUAAGUACCACAUAAUCCUACAAUUUAUGUAAUGUGAUAUCUACACAAUAAAAUGCACAUAUGCAGAGUUUAAGUUAUUUCAGACAGCCACAAACUAAAUUGAAGUUUUAUCUUUGUAUUAUCAGUAUAAAUAGGCCUGUUAAUCAAGUUAAUUGAGUAAACAAGACUAGAGGAACACUGGUUAAUUUAAUCAAGAGAUAAAACUGUCCAUGAGACAAUAAAAAAUUUUGGAACCUUUCAGAAUAUUGUUAAUAUCCAAGUGUAAAAUAAAACUAACUGUAUUUUGGCUUAAACAAGUACAUAUAAAUUUAUAAGUGUUUUAAAAACAUGUUUUCAAAGAUUCAAAAUAAACUAAAAGUGAUUACUAUUUUUGAAAUUCAUAAAUUUUUAUACUUUUCCUUGCAAUUUGCAUAUCAGCAGUAAAGAAAUGGUUCUCUGGUUUGUGCAGUUAUGAAAGUCAUAUUCUAUAAUUG